UCUCUGGUGCACCUGGCGGUAACCCUGACCUGCCCACAGCGGCUAAGAUAGGGACAAGGGCACUAGCUCAUGCACAGGCCAUUCAAGGGAGGCAGGCGUUUUCUUAAAGCACCUUCCUCCCCGGACAUUUUAGGAACAGAGACGCUGUCACUUCAUGACAAGAGAAUACAAGAAUACGGGACAGAAAGUGAGAACGGUCUCUGGCAGCAGGAGAGGCACUUUCUGGCAGACACAGCCGUCAAGCAGUACGGUGCUCCCUGCUCCCUCCAGCGGCUUUGAGGAGAGGAGAGCCGCUCCUCUGGGUGCAGAGGGGCUGAUGUCAGCUCUGCCUCGGGGCAACCAGGAUAGCUAGGUCUCUGGUUCCCCGUAAAACGGUCUGUGGUUACUCAUCCGGCUGCAGCUAAGGUAUCGUGCUCUUGUCUUGAAAGCUUGUCUAACUAAAUAUCUUAAAAUAGUUAAAAAAUAAGACCACAGGUUUCAAAAGCUUGUCAGUCCAACCUUAAUGUCUCCUUGGCUAUUGUGAUGAGUAAACAAGGCCUGCAAUUUUCUUUCUCCCAAUUUACCUAAGUGCUAUAGCAAUGCCAGGCCAGUGGGGCACCAAACUGGUGCUAGAGGAUGAGACAGCCGGGCAAGGGCUGAAGACCCUUGUCAACUGCUCUUCGUCCAACUCCUAUCUACCUGAAUUCAAGCUGUGGAAAGUUCCCGUGAGUUCCAGCCAGAUACGCCACCUCAGAGUCACACGACCAAGAAUCUAGAGCCUUCCGCUGGGAUUAUACCCACUCUGCUACCACUUCGCAGAGAUCAAAAGGGAAGGUACAGACAGACCCAAGUUUUGGAAUCAAGAAAAGGCAGUCUCGAACUGUGUUGAUGUCUUCGGCUAAUUCUAGACCUAAUUCUAGAUCUACAAGCCCAAAAGGCAAAACUCACAGCGCAACAAAUGAAACAAUAAGAAUCUGCAAACUUUUAAGAUGGGGGACGACCAACUCAGACCCUUAGCAGCCUAUCUUGACUUGCGAAGGUUUGCAAAGUGAAUUCUGUGUCUGUGUACGCCUUGAGUUUUAAGAACACAUUUAACUUCAUUUACUUGUUCACUGAACAAAAAGAAAAGUGCCAACCAUCACCCUCAUCUUAUGAUUCCACAAAGAUUUAAGAACUAGUUGGCUCAAUAAUCCUUAGGAAGAUGGACUUGCUCACUCAGACUUCUCCCUGUUGGAGAAGGCCCCACCCUCGGUGGGUUUUUUCCUUAAAGUUCUCAACGGCCAAGCUAACUGCCGCUCUCCCACCAGAGACCCCUCCAUGAUAGGAGUGAACGCGGCCUCCAUUAUACUUCUGACCAACAACACAUUCCUCCUCUUCUGUCUUCUGAAGGGCAUUUCCUUGCUCCGAGGAGUCUUCAGGAACAGGUCCCACAGGCUGUCUGGAUAACCUAUCCCGACCUCACUUUUCCUAUUGUCUGUUUCUGACCAAGUUUUAGAGAUACCUGGAUUCUUAAGUGCCCUCAAAAGGUUUUAAAGGGAGAUUUCAAAUUGAUGAAAUUAUUCUGUGUCAAGGAGCGCCUAAUGCGUGUACCAUGGCAGCCCAUGGGCUGCUUUAAUAUCCAUAAUAUGACACCUAUAUAUCUAACAUCCUCACCGCUUGAAACAGAGGGAAAAUAGAAGUCUGCCUCUACACAGUUAAAACCGAAGUCAAAAUCCCAGCUCCUAACUCUUAAGAAAACCCUCAAGGCCUCAGUCAUUGCUUGCCUUUCAUUCUGUAUCUGAUCUCUCUUACCCACCCUGGUGACCCAGACCUAAUGUAGCUCUGAAGCUGCCCCCUGGGACCUGCAAAGAUAGCGCCAUGUUCCCGAGCACGACCAACUGAGAGCAGAGGGACAGAUUCCAAAACCAGGCUCAAGGCUACAAGGCAAGUGAUCUUUCUUACCUUACCUGAUAAGCCCCGAGGGCAUACGUGUAUCACAAUGUCAAAUAAUGAUGACUAUUCAUGAUUCUAAGUCACCAAGAACAGUUUAAUCGUGUUUACGGUACUUAGUUACAAAGCGUUCUAAAAUGUGACGAGCCUGGCCCUGGGCUGCUGGGCUUUGAGCAGCCAAUCCACGUGGCCUCCGUCUCCUCUUCCCCACACUUGCUGUCACUAGAGGAGGCGACACACGGUGCAGGGCGGUGGCCUCACCACUGGGUGACCGACCUGCUGUAAGACUUCAUCUGGGCCAGCGCCUGCUCCUCCAGCUGGUCACUGUUGGACGCGGCACUCAAGGGGCGGUGGUUUUCAUCAGCAGCAGCAAAGAAGGAGGCUCUCUGGACUGGAAGGGAGAGAAGAAGCCAUUCAGGAUGUUGGAGCCACAUCCUGGGUCCUAUCUCUCAAACGUCAACAGCUGGCCUACACCGAGGGUCACAUCUGAACAGUGUGCGUGGAGGCCUCCGAAACCUAGCUCCUGACCCGUGUAGGAAAAAAUUACUGAUGAAGCAGUAAGAGGACAGUAGCGUUGUCAGUUCUCUUUGAAAAAUACUUGUGAAUCGAUUUGUAGUCCUCCUUUCAUUACUCAUCACAGUAGCAUUCUAUGAAAUGUUUCCCUGGAAAUGGGCAUUGUGCCAAAUUUCCAGACCGAGGCUUUCCGCCGGGUGAGGAUAUAAAAUGCACUUCUAGAAAUGUUUUCCACAAGAUAGCUGGCUAUCUCCGUUGGCUUCAGCCAAAGUCCAACCGUACGUAUUCCAAAAUAUACCAAACCAAAAACGAGCCAAGAAAACGAAAUCAAAGUUUGAAAAACCUCUCGUUAAAAACUCAAAACUGCUUCCAUCUUAGAUAAAAGAGUGACCAACAAAUCGAAAGUUAAAAUCAAGGCAGUACUGGGGAAGUACCAUCAGCUAACAUGGGGACGGAUGCCCUGUGGACUCCGCCAUGGUGGCCGGACUUCUGAAUUCUGUGGCCUAAUCCAUUUCUCCUGAAAACUCUAGCUUGACUGAAUAGCUACAUUCAAUUCUUCAAGCAAGAGCAAGACAAGCCCCAAACCAUUCAUCUGCUAUCACCGUUUUUUAAAGAGUAUUUCCAGAGAGUUUACGUUGAUGAACAUAGAGUGAAGUCAGUCUAUUCAAAACAGGUAUUUGACAAUUUUUGUCCACAUACACAGCAUUACAUUUAGUCACGGGAAAUGUGCUACCAGAGUCCGGAGAGGUGAACAAGGAGCACAAAGGGAGUGUCCCUGACAUUUGUCGAGACUGGGGCCGGCCAAGUGGACCAAGCAUCCUAACAGAUCCAACCACGCACUUUGCAAUGAUGUCUUUAUGAUGCGGUAAAAGACUCUCUCGGACGUGUGAUCUCUUCAGUCAAGUGACAGCUGGGAUUCCCCCCACACCCUGCCCUCCCCACGCAUGGGCAGGUGAGGCACAAUGCUGUGAACUCCUCUGUGGAGGAGAGGGCAGGCUCCACCUGUUUAAAUCACGCAACGUGUGCCCCUACCGAGUACCCGGUAACUGUGGGUUCAACUGUUUCUGGCUGUGCCGGUCAAGUCCAUGUGCUGUCGGGGUGUUGGAGGAAACCGGGCGGACAGGGACGGACCGGAGCCUCGCACCGCCCAAACCCCAGCGUGGCCCUGCCGGUCCUGUGCUGUCCUGUUUGCAGCAGACUCACCCUCAUAGGCCUUCGCAGCGUCCACCAGGUUGGACCAAUCCAAAUCCGCAGCAGCAUCGGGCAGGGGCAUCAGGCCAGGGUCGGGCAUGGGUGGCCUUCGAGUCUCCUGGACGUCAGUGAGGGAGCUGUCCGAGGCUGAGAACUCUCCUACAGGAAGAGAGUAGAAGACAGAUCAGAUACUUCUCAUGGCCACAGGAGAACCGCUCAGGGUCUUACCCAGUUCCUGUUACCACAGCAGAUUUCUAACUCAGUUGUUGUCUGGAAUCUGUUUCUAAUCCAGCAGGCCACGAGGGGCUGUCCUAAUGCUGAUGUGAACUAGGAACUGGCUUCUUCCAGUCUUAACUCAUUUUUCGAUAACCUCCCUCCAUCUCAUUUCUAGUAGCGUGAGACACAGAAAAGUUAGUUUUGCACCCAGGCAACAUGUCUGCUUUUGUGGGAAGCUGUCUGUCUACAGUGGGGCCCAGGGUGGCUCCAGUGUCUUGCUUUUUUUCAGUCAAGGAUUCAGGCUAGGAUGCUGAGGUGUGGUUUGACAGACAACUGGGGUUUGAAGCCAGACCAGGAAGCUUGUUGGUAUCUGUUCCAGGGGAUAGUAGGGUCGUUCUCACUGGACUGGGACCCGGACUCUGACCCACCUGCCUGUGGACCCCCUGCACCCCUGGGGCAGGAGAGACAGACUUCUCCCCAGACCCCGCUGGCCCUGUACCCUGGGGAUGUGUCUGCAGGGUGGUGUGAGCACCGAAUCAGAUGAUGUGAGGGUGCUCGAUUAUCCAGAUGGGAGUUCCUACAAGAAGGGGAUGUUAGGAUUGGUGCUGGCCUUCUUCCCCUUCCCAAGGGCACAAGGAGCUACUCUUGGGACUGGUUUGGGAUCACAGCAGUCCCACAGCCUGAGCUGCCUCUGAGGGGACCAUUUUAAAAAUACAGAUAGGAAGCCAUCAUAAGGACAGACCUCUGCCUGGCCUGGGGCGGAGAGUGCGCCACCAGUAGGCUGCUAGUGCUCAAGUUCAUAGGGCGGAGAACAGAGGGGGAGGGCUGCUGGGCUCAUGACGUGUAAAUGCUCUCAACAGGGCACAGUGUGACUGCAACACUAAAAUCCAUGCCAACGUGAGCUAAAAGCUCAGCUGAAAUCACUAAGUGGCUCCAGAAAUACCUGUUUACAAGGAGUUAAAAAGUUUCACCAAUUAUGAUAGCCUGGUAAACCAGAGUAUAUUUAGUGCCUGUUUUCCCUUUCAAAUUACAUAAAGAACUGCUCUGAACUGCAGCUGCCAGUUAUUAAUGUGCUUAAAAUUAGCAAAAUUAUGAGUAAAUGGAAAUCAACAAAUA
This is a long non-coding RNA of Panthera uncia (snow leopard), 4944 nucleotides long. RefSeq lists it as uncharacterized. The record is from RefSeq and is a predicted model, not a curated record. NCBI's taxonomy places the organism in Eukaryota, Metazoa, Chordata, Mammalia, Carnivora, Felidae. The transcript is spliced from 2 exons.